This 194-nucleotide ribosomal RNA is filed under the name uncultured bacterium. Its description in RNAcentral is "partial 16S ribosomal RNA". It matches the Rfam family "Bacterial small subunit ribosomal RNA", at positions 338 to 524 of the family's 1533-position model. The record is from RNAcentral. RNAcentral also lists the same sequence under 1 other name.
CCUACGGGAGGCAGCAGUAGGGAAUCUUCCACAAUGGGCGAAAGCCUGAUGGAGCAACGCCGCGUGAGCGAAGAAGGUCUUCGGAUCGUAAAGCUCUGUUGUAAGGGAAGAACAAGUGCAGUAGUAACUGGCUGCACCUUGACGGUACCUUACGAGAAAGCCACGGCUAACUACGUGCCAGCAGCCGCGGUAAU